AUUGAACGCUGGCGGCAGGCUUAACACAUGCAAGUCGAGCGAGUGGCGAACGGGUGAGUAAUGUCUGGGAAAGUGCCUGGUGGAGGGGGAUAACUACUGGAAACGGUAGCUAAUACCGCAUACCAUCAGAUGUGCCCAGAUGGGAUUAGCUAGUAGGUGGGGUAAUGGCUCACCAAGGCGACGAUCCCUAGCUGGUCUGAGAGGAUGACCCGCCACACUGGAACUGAGACACGGUCCAGACUCCUACGGGAGGCAGCAGUGGGGAAUAUUGCACAAUGGGCGCAAGCCUGAUGCAGCCAUGCCGCGUGUGUGAAGAAGGCCUUCGGGUUGUAAAGCACUUUUAGCGGGGAGGCGUUACCCGCAGAAGAAGCACCGGCUAACUCCGUGCCAGCCGCCGCGGUAAUUC
This 406-nucleotide ribosomal RNA is filed under the name uncultured bacterium. RNAcentral's name for it is "partial 16S ribosomal RNA". It matches the Rfam family "Bacterial small subunit ribosomal RNA", at positions 30 to 526 of the family's 1533-position model. The record is from RNAcentral.